Molecule: ribosomal RNA, 253 nt
Filed under: uncultured bacterium
Lineage: Bacteria
Description: partial 16S ribosomal RNA
Rfam family: Bacterial small subunit ribosomal RNA
Source: RNAcentral
UACGGAGGGAGCUAGCGUUGUUCGGAAUUACUGGGCGUAAAGCGCACGUAGGCGGCUUUGUAAGUUAGAGGUGAAAGCCCGGGGCUCAACUCCGGAAUUGCCUUUAAGACUGCAUCGCUUGAAUCCAGGAGAGGUGAGUGGAAUUCCGAGUGUAGAGGUGAAAUUCGUAGAUAUUCGGAAGAACACCAGUGGCGAAGGCGACUUACUGGACACAUAUUGACGCUGAGGUGCGAAAGCGUGGGGAGCAAACAGG